Non-coding RNA from Pelobates cultripes (western spadefoot toad), 447 nucleotides. The record is from the annotation of a GenBank genome assembly. NCBI's taxonomy places the organism in Eukaryota, Metazoa, Chordata, Amphibia, Anura, Pelobatidae.
UUUUCAUUCUCCAUGAAUACACAGAAAUAGGAGAUGACACUAAGAUUAAUUUGACUGUGCAGUAUGGGACACGAAGGGUUAAAUGAAUUUCGGCAUUCAGUGUCUCCCACCAAUCAUACGGCAAUACGUUUUAAGGGGGCGCGGCUAAUCCGAACGCCAGUUUUGGCACGAAUAGCCGGGAUACACCCCCGGCCAGUGAUUGGCCUAGAGCUGUCAUAAAUUGAAUCCUGGAAGGAGAGUCCGGUUGCCUUGCCUCAGAUGAAGGUGCUUUAGCAGCGCCGAAACGCGCGUUAGGUAGCUUAGGUUAUUUUUAAUAGACAGGUAGUUAGUAUACUAUCCGAUCGAUUUCCUCUUGAUUAUUUUCCUUUUUUUUAUUUCAUUGUGAGCAUUUGGGGUGUGCUAUUGGACGCAAUGGGGAUUCCUAUAAGGGGUGGUGGAGUUUUUGGU